GACGAACGCUGGCGGCGUGCUUAACACAUGCAAGUCGAACGGAAAGGCCCUGCUUUUGUGGGUUGCUCGAGUGGCGAACGGGUGAGUAACACGUGAGUAACCUGCCCUUGACUUUGGGAUAACUUCAGGAAACUGGGGCUAAUACCGGAUAGGAGCUCCUGCUGCAUGGUGGGGGUUGGAAAGUUUCGGCGGUUGGGGAUGGACUCGCGGCUUAUCAGCUUGUUGGUGGGGUAGUGGCUUACCAAGGCUUUGACGGGUAGCCGGCCUGAGAGCUUGACCGGCCACAUGGGUACUGAGAUACGGACCAGACGCCGACGGGAGGCAGCAGUGGGGAAUAUUGCACAAUGGGCGGAAGUCUGAUGCAGCAAUGCCGCGUGCGGGAUGACGUCCUUCGGGUUGUAAACCGCUGUCGCCUGUGACGAAGCGUGAGUGACGGUAAUGGGUAAAGAAGCACCGGCUAACUACGUG
RNAcentral lists this ribosomal RNA (468 nucleotides) under uncultured bacterium. RNAcentral describes it as "partial 16S ribosomal RNA". It matches the Rfam family "Bacterial small subunit ribosomal RNA", at positions 28 to 507 of the family's 1533-position model. The record is from RNAcentral.